CGAACGGGUGAGUAAUGCGUGACCAACCUGCCCCAUGCUCCAGAAUAGCUCUUGGAAACGGGUGGUAAUGCUGGAUGCUCCAACUUGACGCAUGUCUUGUUGGGAAAGUGUUUAGUGGCAUGGGAUGGGGUCGCGUCCUAUCAGCUUGUAGGCGGGGUAAUGGCCCACCUAGGCUUCGACGGGUAGCCGGCCUGAGAGGGCGGACGGCCACAUUGGGACUGAGAUACGGCCCAGACUCCUAGGGAGGCAGCAGCU
This 255-nucleotide ribosomal RNA is filed under the name uncultured Gardnerella sp. RNAcentral describes it as "partial 16S ribosomal RNA". It matches the Rfam family "Bacterial small subunit ribosomal RNA", at positions 99 to 355 of the family's 1533-position model. The record is from RNAcentral. Lineage: Bacteria; Bacillati; Actinomycetota; Actinomycetes; Bifidobacteriales; Bifidobacteriaceae.